GACGAACGCUGGCGGCGUGCUUAACACAUGCAAGUCGAACGGAAAGGCCCUGCUUUUGUGCGGUGCUCGUGUGGCGAACGGGUGAGUAACACGUGAGUAACCUGCCCUUUACUUUGGGAUAACUUCAUGAAACUGGGGCUCUUACCGCAUAGGAGCUCCUGCUGCAUGGUGGUGGUUGGUAAGUUUCGGCGGUUGGGGAUGGACUCGCGGCUUAUGAGCUUGUUGGUGGGGUAGUGGCUGACCAAGGCUUUGACGGGUAGCCGGCAUGGGAGGGUGACCAGAGACAAGGGGACUGAGGGAGGGAGCAGAGGGGAACGGGAGGAAGGAGGGGGGAAGAUGGCACAAGGGGGGGAAGCGUGAGAAAGAAACGCAGGGGGCGGAAAGACGGCCUAGGGGGAGGAAAGGGCUGUAGACUGAGAAGAAGAGGGAGUGACGGUAAUGGGAAAAGAAGCACCGGCUAACUACGUG
RNAcentral lists this ribosomal RNA (468 nucleotides) under uncultured bacterium. Its description in RNAcentral is "partial 16S ribosomal RNA". It matches the Rfam family "Bacterial small subunit ribosomal RNA", at positions 28 to 507 of the family's 1533-position model. The record is from RNAcentral.